UGUUUCGGCAAGGGGGUCAUCCCGACUUACCAACCCGAUGCAAACUGCGAAUACCGGAGAAUGUUAUCACGGGAGACACACGGCGGGUGCUAACGUCCGUCGUGAAGAGGGAAACAACCCAGACCGCCAGCUAAGGUCCCAAAGUCAUGGUUAAGUGGGAAACGAUGUGGGAAGGCCCAGACAGCCAGGAUGUUGGCUUAGAAGCAGCCAUCAUUUAAAGAAAGCGUAAUAGCUCACUGGUCGAGUCGGCCUGCGCGGAAGAUGUAACGGGGCUAAACCAUGCACCGAAGCUGCGGCAGCGACACUAUGUGUUGUUGGGUAGGGGAGCG
This 329-nucleotide ribosomal RNA is filed under the name Escherichia coli. RNAcentral's name for it is "partial 23S ribosomal RNA". It matches the Rfam family "Bacterial large subunit ribosomal RNA", at positions 911 to 1238 of the family's 2925-position model. The record is from RNAcentral. Lineage: Bacteria; Pseudomonadati; Pseudomonadota; Gammaproteobacteria; Enterobacterales; Enterobacteriaceae.